UACGUAGGUGACCAGCGUUGUCCGGAUUUACUGGGCGUAAAGAGCGCGCAGGCGGUCGUUCAAGUCGAGUGUGAAGGCCCCCGGCUCAACUGGGGAGGGUCACUCGAUACUGAUCGACUUGAAGGCAGGAGAGGGAAGCGGAAUUCCCGGUGUAGUGGUGAAAUGCGUAGAUAUCGGGAGGAACACCAGUGGCGAAGGCGGCUUCCUGGCCUGUUCUUGACGCUGAGGCGCGAAAGCUAGGGGAGCAAACGGGG
RNAcentral lists this ribosomal RNA (254 nucleotides) under uncultured bacterium. RNAcentral describes it as "partial 16S ribosomal RNA". It matches the Rfam family "Bacterial small subunit ribosomal RNA", at positions 524 to 777 of the family's 1533-position model. The record is from RNAcentral.